Molecule: small RNA, 167 nt
Filed under: Pongo abelii (Sumatran orangutan)
Lineage: Eukaryota; Metazoa; Chordata; Mammalia; Primates; Hominidae
Description: processed transcript
Source: RNAcentral
GGUAGAGGUGGAGGUGGAGAAAGGACGUUUCAAGGGUGAAGCUUCUUCAGUAAACACUGGGAAAGACAUAGAAGAACUAUUAAGAAGAUAGAAUUGUUUUGCUGCGCAGUACAGCAACAGUGGAUGUUCAAGAUUAAGAUUAGAGUCAAGUUGUGUGAUUAAGACAG